Molecule: ribosomal RNA, 688 nt
Filed under: uncultured Bacillota bacterium
Lineage: Bacteria; Bacillati; Bacillota
Description: bacterial SSU rRNA
Rfam family: Bacterial small subunit ribosomal RNA
Source: RNAcentral
GCGGACGGGUUAGUAAUACGAUCGAACGUGCCCCGAGGCGGGGGAUAGGCAUGGGAAACUGUGCGUAAUACCCCAUAAUCUCUCCGGAGCAAAGGUUUACCACCUUGGGAUCGGCGAUCGUCCUAUCAGCUAGUUGGCGGGGUAACGGCCCACCAAGGCUAUGACGGGUAGCAGGUGUGAGAGCACGACCUGCAACAUCGGGACUGAGACACUGCCCGGACUCCUACGGGAGGCUGCAGCGACGAAUCUUCCGCAAUGGGCGCAAGCCUGACGGAGCGACGCCGCGUGUGGGAUGAAGCGUCUUCGACGUGUAAACCACUGUCAGGGGGCAGAACCAAUGAUCGCCCCCAGAGGAAGAGACGGCUAACCCUGUGCCAGCAGCCGCGGUAAGACAGGGGUCUCGAGCGUUAAUCGGAAUUACUGGGCUUAAAGGGUGCGUAGGCCGGCCCGCAAGUGACUUGUGAAAUCCCCCGGCUCAACCGGGGAACAGCUCGUCAUACUGCGGGUCUUGAGGAAGGUAGGGGUCGCCAGAACUGUAGGUGGAGCGGUGAAAUGCGUAGAUAUCUACAGGAAUGCCGAUGGUGAAGACGGGCGACUGGGCCUUUCCUGACGCUGAGGCACGAAAGCGUGGGGAGCAAACAGGAUUAGAUACCCUGGUAGUCCACGCCGUAAACGAUGCGCGCUAGAU